GCCAGUGUCAUUUUUGUGAUUUUCAGCUAGUGUUCUCAUUCCACUUGCAUAGGCACAAAAGUGCCCCUUGGC
This 72-nucleotide microRNA precursor is filed under the name Fukomys damarensis (Damara mole-rat). RNAcentral describes it as "mir-153 microRNA precursor family". It matches the Rfam family "mir-153 microRNA precursor family". The record is from Rfam by way of RNAcentral. Lineage: Eukaryota; Metazoa; Chordata; Mammalia; Rodentia; Bathyergidae.